Molecule: ribosomal RNA, 249 nt
Filed under: uncultured Alcaligenaceae bacterium
Lineage: Bacteria; Pseudomonadati; Pseudomonadota; Betaproteobacteria; Burkholderiales; Alcaligenaceae
Description: partial 16S ribosomal RNA
Rfam family: Bacterial small subunit ribosomal RNA
Source: RNAcentral
UGGGGAAUUUUGGACAAUGGGCGAAAGCCUGAUCCAGCCAUGCCGCGUGCGGGAAGAAGGCCUUCGGGUUGUAAACCGCUUUUGGCAGGAACGAAACGGCGCUCGCUAAUACCGGGCGCUAAUGACGGUACCUGCAGAAUAAGCACCGGCUAACUACGUGCCAGCAGCCGCGGUAAUACGUAGGGUGCGAGCGUUAAUCGGAAUUACUGGGCGUAAAGCGUACGCAGGCGGCUCUGUAAGCCAGGUGUG